Molecule: ribosomal RNA, 396 nt
Filed under: uncultured bacterium
Lineage: Bacteria
Description: bacterial SSU rRNA
Rfam family: Bacterial small subunit ribosomal RNA
Source: RNAcentral
GGAAUAUUGGACAAUGGGCGAAAGCCUGAUCCAGCAACGCCGCGUGACUGAUGAAGCCCCUCGGGGUGUAAAAGUCUUUCAGCGGGGACAAUGAUGAUGGUACCCGCAGAAGCAGCUGCGGCUAACUACGUGCCAGCAGCCGCGGUAAUACGUAGGCAGCUAGCGUUGUUCGGAAUUACUGGGCGUAAAGCGAGUGUAGGCGGUCUGCCAAGUCCGUUGUGAAAUCUCCCGGCUCAACUGGGAGGGUGCGGCGGAAACUGGCAGGCUAGAGUGCGGAGGGGGAGAGUGGAAUUCCUGGUGUAGCGGUGAAUGCGUAGAUAUCAGGAGGAACACCGGUGGUGGAGACGGCUCUCUGGGCCGCCGCUGACGCUGAGACUCGAAAGCGUGGGGAGCAAG